This is a non-coding RNA of Oreochromis niloticus (Nile tilapia), 431 nucleotides long. Lineage: Eukaryota; Metazoa; Chordata; Actinopteri; Cichliformes; Cichlidae. The record is from the annotation of a RefSeq genome assembly.
CAAGCCUAAGUCAGGGAUCCAACCUCAUAUAGACACAGCAGACUGGGCAAAGACAACUGACUUUAACAAUGACCAAACCUGUUCAUUUAGUUAUUUUCCUGAUUCUGUUUUGUUUCUUGGCUGGUACUGAGGGUCAAACACUGACAGAGUCUGAAUCAGUGGUUAAAAGGCCUGGAGACUCCCACAGACUGACCUGCACAUACUCAGGGUUCAGCAGUGACAUUUAUGCUAAUUGGAUCAGACAGGCUGCUGGAAAAAGACCGGAAUGGAUUGCUUAUAUCAACCCUAGCAGUGGCAGCAUCUACUCUCAGUCAGUCAGAGGCCGGUUUACCAUCUCCAGAGACAACAGCAGAAAGCAGGUGUAUCUGCAGAUGAACAGCUUGACAACUGAGGACUCUGCUGUUUAUUAUUGUGCCAAAGAGCCACAGUGA